Sander lucioperca (pikeperch) is the source of this 270-nucleotide long non-coding RNA. RefSeq lists it as uncharacterized. The transcript has 2 exons. The record is from RefSeq and is a predicted model, not a curated record. Lineage: Eukaryota; Metazoa; Chordata; Actinopteri; Perciformes; Percidae.
AGUAGCUAGGUAAGGACUACUAGCCAGUCAGAAGCAGAGUAUGAGGGCGUGCCCUGACAGUAGCUAGGUAAGGACUACUAGCCAGUCAGGAUUAAAUAAAGUAUCUUUUGAGCCUAGUUCUCUAACUUUGUUCAUUUUUCGCCGGAUUUGUCCUUUUUGUUCCAUUAUGUAUCAUGGGGCACUGAUUCUCUACUGCUAAUAGGUUGAUGAAAAUCAUGAAUUGUCUAUAAUUCUUUAGACAGAACCGAUAUCUUUUGGGGCUUUAAAAAA